This 252-nucleotide ribosomal RNA is filed under the name uncultured bacterium. RNAcentral describes it as "partial 16S ribosomal RNA". It matches the Rfam family "Bacterial small subunit ribosomal RNA", at positions 525 to 776 of the family's 1533-position model. The record is from RNAcentral.
ACGAGGGGAGCUAGCGUUGUUCGGAAUUACUGGGCGUAAAGCGCGCGUAGGCGGUUUUUUAAGUCAGAGGUGAAAGCCCGGGGCUCAACCCCGGAAUAGCCUUUGAAACUGGAAAACUAGAAUCUUGGAGAGGUCAGUGGAAUUCCGAGUGUAGAGGUGAAAUUCGUAGAUAUUCGGAAGAACACCAGUGGCGAAGGCGACUGACUGGACAAGUAUUGACGCUGAGGUGCGAAAGCGUGGGGAGCAAACAGG